This is a non-coding RNA of Oryctolagus cuniculus (rabbit), 450 nucleotides long. The record is from RefSeq and is a predicted model, not a curated record. Lineage: Eukaryota; Metazoa; Chordata; Mammalia; Lagomorpha; Leporidae.
GACGAGAGGAGGGCAGAGCACAGAGGUGGGAGUGAUGCAUGUGGGGGAUGAGAGGAGGGCAGAGCACAGAGGUGGGAGUGAUGCAUGUGGGGGAUGAGAGGAGGGCAGAGCACAGAGGUGGGAGUGAUGCAUGUGGGGGAUGAGAGGAGGGCAGAGCACAGAGGUGGGAGUGAUGCAAGUGGGGGAUGAGAGGAGGGCAGAGCACAGAGGUGGGAGUGAUGCAAGUGGGGGAUGAGAGGAGGGCAGAGCACAGAGGUGGGAGUGAUGCAAGUGGGGGAUGAGAGGAGGGCAGAGCACAGAGGUGGGAGUGAUGCAAGUGGGGGAUGAGAGGAGGGCAGAGCACAGAGGUGGGAGUGAUGCAAGUGGGGGAUGAGAGGAGGGCAGAGCACAGAGGUGGGAGUGAUGCAAGUGGGGGAUGAGAGGAGGGCAGAGCACAGAGGUGGGAGUGAU